GUUGGACCAUGGAAUGUUGUUUCAUGGAAUCACUCUUCUCCUGGCUUGAUUUUUUGAAGAUAAGAUUGGAGUACCAUGAGAGCAACUGUGAAGUUUUUGUGAGUACGUCGACAUUUUGAGGUGAUACAGGAAGAUAAAACACAGCGGAGCAGAAAAAUGGCAUGGCUAUCCGGAUCUCGAGGGCAGCAACUGCCCCAGCCGAUGGAGACGUCGCAGCGGCAACACGUCAUCUCACGUGGGGUGAUGAGACAAGUCAUUAGAUUCAGCGAAUUACGGUGACUACUGCAUACUAUCAGCCGAUUGGCUACGACCAACGGAAAUAAAUCACCAACAACAGCAUGCAGUAAAACAGCCAUUGACACUGGCACGCAAAAGAGGCCCUCGAGCUGUCGAAGCUGCAGGAAGUGACGUGGCGGCGAGAGCAUGCCUCGAAACUGAAGGAGUACGAGGCACACAUUGAGCAGAUGGUUGAGCAGCAGCGCGUGGUGACAUAGGAGCGGCACAAGACGCUGCAGCAGGAGACGAAGCACCAGCGUGUGCGCAUGCAGUACUAGGACCAGCUGGCAUGCAAGAGGUGUUUGUGUAGGUCAUCCAGCAGAUACAGCAGAUGCGUUGCGGAGAAUUCACACGAGGCGGCAAAGAGUCUGCAUCUGCUCUCUGUUGGUGGCAUUCGGCACUACGUGGGCCGACUGCUCGCCAGCUCUGUCAGCUGCUGCCCUCUCACGGCACUCCCACAUUGUGCAGCCGCCUGAGUGCAGAGUCCCACCGUUAAGGCGCCAUCACUCUUCCAGAUGCCCGGUCCACCAUGGCAGGAAGCAAUAGACGGACUGCUGUGAUGGCGUCUUGAAACAAAAACUGCAAGAUUCGUAACACUGCUCCACCAGCCGCACAGUUCGUCAGAGGCAUAGCUCCGCAGACUGCCAUCUGGGGCAGUGAGGGCACUGUCGGCAGUGGCGCCUAUCCGGCCAGUCGCUGCGUGGCGCCCCCUGCAGGCACUCUGCUGAUGCGGCGUCGGGCCACGGGAAAUGUGGAAAGCAGAAAGAACUUACUGUGGUGUCCUGUGAUGUGAGAGUGAAAGUGCAUAUUCCUGCGAGAGAGGGUAGUAUGUAUUGUAACAGCAGCACGGCAGGUGUGUGGGAAAGGAAUGAUUUUAGGCAGUUCUUCAAUUUUCUUUAUUUAAAUAUAAACUGGUAAGAUGACAGCAGAUGACGGAAGCACCGUGUGAUGCAAGUACUGCUACCAAUGUGAGAUUUGUGUACUGCAGACACGAGUAAAUUCAGUGAGAGAUCACAACUGAAGAUACAUUCUAGCUGUAAGGCUUAUACAGCAGUAAUUAGAGUAUUGUGCAGGUUACAUUAGUGUAACAUAGCAUCAUACACUUUGAUAGGAAAUUGUUUCCAGUAAUUAGGUAAUGUAGGGGACUGUAUUAAACAACUACUGUUAAUGUAGCUGAGUUAGACAACUAUUGAUAUUGCACCUGGCUUCAGGGUGAGUGUGUAUAGUGACCAUCACCACACUCUUGUAGCCCAGUAUUAAUUUUGAAGUAAGUUAAUAAUUUAGACGGCUGGUCACACAGCACUUGGCACAAUGAGUUAGACACUGUAGGGAGAGGUAGCAACAGUAGAACGUGUGUAAACGGUUUUCAUAAUACUCAUCUUCCCUUUCUCUUCCUUGUUGUAAGGCUUGUAGUACAUUCUGAAAUGCAACUUUUUGUAUACUGGUCUAGAAGGUACUCAGCUUCACUUUUUUUUAAAAAUAAUAAUACAAUCUUUGGAGGA
Long non-coding RNA from Schistocerca piceifrons (Central American locust), 1778 nucleotides. RefSeq lists it as uncharacterized. The transcript has 6 exons. Lineage: Eukaryota; Metazoa; Arthropoda; Insecta; Orthoptera; Acrididae. The record is from RefSeq and is a predicted model, not a curated record.